RNAcentral lists this transfer-messenger RNA (354 nucleotides) under Lysobacteraceae. Its description in RNAcentral is "Lysobacter_B sp019551435 Standard tmRNA". It matches the Rfam family "transfer-messenger RNA". From Rfam's summary of the family: Bacterial tmRNA, also known as 10Sa RNA or SsrA, is named for its dual tRNA and mRNA-like properties. Its role is to liberate the mRNA from a stalled ribosome. To accomplish this part of the tmRNA is used as a reading frame that ends in a translation stop signal. RNAcentral also lists the same sequence under 1 other name. The record is from RNAcentral. Lineage: Bacteria; Pseudomonadati; Pseudomonadota; Gammaproteobacteria; Lysobacterales.
GGGGGUGCAUUGGCUUCGACGGGGGUUGCGAAAUCGCUUGGCGCAUGCCGAGGGGGUAGCUUUCCUCGCUAAACCAGCUGCAAACUUAUAGUUGCCAACGACGACAACUACGCUCUCGCCGCUUAAGGCGUAAGCCCUGAACCCACUUGUGCCUGUGCUCGUGGAUGUAGGGUCAUUAUCACAGGACCGGCCCAGGCGGCGACCCGCCAACCUGGGCUUGAAUAAAGCGGGUGUGGAUUGCGGCGCGCCUUGCUGGUUGAGUUGCCGCCGUCCGAGAUCAAUCAAUCAGCUAAGCAUGUAGUGCCGGGCGUGGAGUGCCUUCGGACGGCGGUUCGAUUCCGCCCACCUCCACCA